AUGAGCAGCUCACAGCUUUUUCCCAUAAGUUUAAACAAAUUGACUGACAAAGAGCGCCACAAGUACAUUCUCGGCCACUAUGUGCUCAACAACACCGCCCAAAGCGAGUCGCGAAAACACAAGCGAGACAUCGAUGUCAUUCGGGAGAACCAUCGCUUUCUGUGGGACGACGAUGACGAGGAAUGCGGAUCGCUGAGUUGGGAUCAACGCCUGGCGCGGCGCUACUACAAGAAACUCUUCAAGGAAUACUGCAUCGCGGACCUGACUCGCUACAAGGAGAACAAGAUAGCCCUCCGCUGGCGAACCGAGCAGGAAGUUGUGGCAGGAACAGGACAAUUCCAGUGCGGCAGCCGCCACUGUGGGGAGCGGACGGAUCUGCGCAGCUGGGAGGUGAAUUUCAAGUACAUCGAGCAAGGGGUGCCCAUGAAUGCGCUGGUUAAGGUACGGCUUUGUCCCACGCACACGGAUCAACUCAACUAUCGCACCAAAAAGAAGGAGUACAAAAAGCAGAAACGUAGGGAGAAGGAUGAGUGCAGAGCUGGAAAAAGAAACAAGCGACGGAAACUGGAUGAUACUGCCAAUGAUGAGGGCGAGAAAGAUAAUAAGGAAGAGCCUGCGGUGCCAGAGGCAGAUCCGGAAACAUGGAACAUUGAAGCUGAGGAACCCACCGCAGACGACCAAAUCUGGAUAAAUCAGCUUAAUCUCAGCGAGGAACAACCCUCCAGAGAGCAAGAAUUCGAACGCUAUCUGGAAGAUCUUCUAAUGUAAAAUACAUAGCACGUUUAUUUUUGUAUUCAACGUAGAUCUUUUUAAAGUUACUGGCCGCGGGAUGCGCUCGCUUAUAUACUAAGAUGUACAUGCAUAAUCUUUUCGUGUAUUUUCUGGGACUUGCAUGUACAUACACUCACAUUUACAAGACUAUUCACAAUUAUUUGUUAAAACCAACACCAAAAAGUUGAACUGGACAGUAAGGCUGUGACUCUGACUCGACUCUGUUUUUUUUUUUUACAAUAUUAUGUGUAAUUAUGUGUACCUAGAGUUCAAUCGCAAUCCCUUUGUUGAUCGAGUGCAAGUCGGAUACGCUACAGCCCCAGCAACGAUCGACGUUCUUCUAAAUAUAAACUGGAGAAACAACACUUUAAACGCUUUAAAAUAAAUACCCUUGACUGUU
RNA transcript from Drosophila persimilis, 1171 nucleotides. It is a transcript of the gene named protein FRA10AC1 homolog, with no coding region annotated. The transcript has 3 exons. The record is from RefSeq and is a predicted model, not a curated record. NCBI's taxonomy places the organism in Eukaryota, Metazoa, Arthropoda, Insecta, Diptera, Drosophilidae.